Molecule: non-coding RNA, 1060 nt
Organism: Pocillopora verrucosa
Lineage: Eukaryota; Metazoa; Cnidaria; Anthozoa; Scleractinia; Pocilloporidae
Source: RefSeq, a predicted model, not a curated record
UAGUGCUCAUGACAACCUAACGUUCACUUCUCUCGAAGCCUUCAAAACCCUCCGGCAAAAAAAAUAUUUGAGCCCAGAGGGAACUUGCAUUCUGUGCUGUAAACGCUUGUUACAACUUCAAGCUACAGACUUUUGGUCGAAGGGAUAUAUGUGUGACUGGUUUGACACACAGAUGGAAAGAAAAUGCUUAGAAUUGUCUUCAUCAUUGUCGUGUCUCUGCCUUCUGUAACAUCAACCACAAAAAAUUGUAGCUCGGUGACGUCGACCAAGUGCUUUCAACGAUGUGGCAGCACCUCAUGUAUGUGUCUAUCAAACGACACCCAUUAUGCUUACAGAGAAUGUCACCAGUCCUGCGGAAAUACACAGUGCAAGGUACUGACGUGUACAUCCGGGACUUGCCAUCAGGAGUGUCAUGACUGCCGCAUGGAAUGUACUGGUGACGUCGGUUAUUGUAAUCAGCGGUGUUUGUCAGGAGCAUGCUCCUUUAAGUGUAGCGCCAAGGAAUGUGUACAAAAAUGUGCAGGUAAUGAUUGCAAACACUUGCCUACGGAACACGAAGAGCCUUUAAUACCACGCCUCUACCUGGUCAUCUUAGCUGGUCUGUUUGCAGCUACUACAAUUUUGACUUGUUUAGCUUUGAUGUUGUCUUGCAGCCAGAUGAGUUAUUGCACGAGAAAAACUUCCAUGCUUGUUUCUCGUGACCUUUGCAGCAGCUUAGAAAGUCUACCAACAAAACCUUCAGUUGUAUAGUACAAGAGCCCACGGGACACCCAUUCAAAGCGUUAUUAACAAAAUAACCAGUUGUGUUGCACACCAUGAAACACAGGAUAUCCACGCACGAGACUUUAUAGUGUUCCUCACUACAUGAAGGGUGGAACGAGUUUUGUGAAAACGAAGUGAAGUUGUAGCCUUGGAGAUAAAGACUAUUCCAGUAGGAUGAACUACAAGUAGCUUUAGUAGGUUGUGAACUGGAAUUGUGUCAGUAUUUAAUGAAAAAGAAAAUACAGUUGUUAUCCUUUUAUAUUUGUUGAGUGCAAGAAUUAAAAAUUGUCACAGUAAA